GGGGGCGGCGCCUGGGGGCCGGGAGGAGCGCGGCUUAGCGGCCUCCAGACACAAAGAGCAGCCGGCGGGAGCGGGUGAGCAGCGCUCUGGCUCCGCGCGGGCGGACGGCGCCUCCCAGCCUGCUAUGGGAUGGAUGAAGAAGAGAAUCACUAUGUCUCACAGCUCAGGGAAGCCUACAGCAGCUGUGACACUACAGGGACCGGCUUUCUGGACCGUGAGGAGCUCACCCAGCUCUGCCUUAAGCUUCACCUGGAGCAGCAGCUGCCUGUUCUCCUGCAGACACUUCUCGGAAACAAUCACUUCGCCAGGGUUAACUUUGAGGAAUUUAAGGAAGGUUUUGUGUCUGUGUUGUCAUCAAAUGCUGGUGUUCGCCCCUCAGAUGAAGACAGUAGUUCUUUGGAAUCAGCUGCCUCCUGUGCCAUCCCACCGAAGUAUGUGAGUGGCUCUAAGUGGUACGGCCGUCGAAGCCGGCCCGAGCUGUGUGACGCUGCCACAGAAGCCAGACACAUGCCCGAGCAGCAAACCCAGGCCAGCCUGAAAAGUCCGCUCCAGCGCUCAGCGUCUCUGGAAAGUGUGGAGAGUCUCAAGUCAGAUGAAGAGGCCGAGAGCGCUAAAGAAGCUCAGAAUGAAUUAUUUGAAGCACAAGGGCAGCUGCAGACCUGGGAUUCCGAGGACUUUGGGAGCCCCCAGAAGUCCUGCAGCCCCUCCUUUGACACCCCAGAAGGCCAGAUCCGCGGCAUGUGGGAAGAGCUGGGGGUGGGCAGCAGCGGGCACCUGAGCGAGCAGGAGCUGGCUGUGGUCUGCCAGAGUGUCGGGCUUCGGGGACUCAAGAAAGAGGAACUUGAAGACCUGUUUAACAAACUAGAUCAAGAUGGAGAUGGCAGAGUGAGUCUUGAGGAGUUCCAGCUUGGCCUCUUCAGCCAUGAGCCCGCGCUACUUCUGGAGUCUUGCACUCAGGUUAAACCAAGCAGGCCUUGGUCUCAUUACCAGGUACCAGAGGAGACCGGCUGCCACACCACCACGACCUCAUCCCUCGUCUCCCUGUGCUCCAGCCUGCGCCUCUUCUCCAGCAUUGAUGAUGGCUCCGGCUUCGCUUUUCCUGAGCAGGUCCUGGCCUUGUGGACCCAGGAAGGGAUUCAGAAUGGCAGGGAGAUCUUGCAGAGCCUGGACUUCAGCGUGGAUGAGAAGGUGAACCUUCUGGAGCUGACCUGGGCCCUUGACAACGAGCUCAUGACAGUGGACAGUGCCGUCCAGCAGGCAGCCCUGGCCUGCUACCGCCAGGAGCUGAGCUACCAGCAGGGGCAGGUGGAGCAGCUGGUGGGGGAGCGCGACAAGGCGAGGCAGGACCUGGAGAUGGCCGAGAAGAGGAACCUGGAGUUUGUGAAAGAGAUGGAUGACUGCCACUCUGCCCUGGAACAGCUCACGGAGAAAAAAAUCAAGCACCUGGAGCAGGGGUACCGGGAAAGGCUGAGCCUCCUGCGGUCUGAGGUAGAGGCGGAGCAAGAGCUGUUCUGGGAGCAGGCCCACAAGCAGAGGGCUAUGCUGGAGCAGGACAUGGGGCGCCUACAGGCUGAGGAGGCUGGCCUCCGUGAGAAGCUGACCCUAGCCCUGAAGGAAAACAGUCGCCUGCAGAAGGAGAUUGUGGAAGUGGUGGAAAAGCUUUCAGAUUCGGAGAGGCUGUCCCUGAAGCUGCAGAAGGACCUGGAGUUUGUCCUGAAGGACAAGCUGGAGCCACAGAGUGCAGAGCUCCUGGCCCAGGAGGAGCGGUUCACAGCGGUCCUGAAGGAAUACGAACUCAAGUGCCGGGACCUGCAGGACCGCAACGAUGAACUGCAAGCUGAGCUGGAAGGCCUGCGGACGCAGCUGCCUGAGAGCCGGCACAGCCCCUCAAGGGGCCCAGGUGGGCGUGGACGGCAGCUCUCUGGACUCAGCCCAGCAGUGAGUAUAGAAACAGAGCUGAUGGUGGAGCAAGUGAAAGAGCAUUACCAAGACCUCAGGACCCAGCUGGAGACCAAGGUAAAUUACUAUGAAAGGGAAAUUGCAGCACUGAAAAGGAACUUUGAGAAGGAGAGGAAGGACAUGGAGCAGGCUUGCAGGCGCGAGGUCAGCGUGCUGGAGGGUCAGAAGGCCGACCUGGAGAAGCUCAACGAGAAGUCUCAGGAGGUCAUCCAGGGCCUGCAGGAGCAGCUGCAGGAUGCAGCCCGUAGCCCCAGGCUUGCGUGGAUGGGGCUGGCACCCUGCUGCACACAGGCACCGUGUGGCCUGGCCCUGCGGCAUCAGAGCCACCUGCGGCAGAUCAGGAGAGAGGCCGAGGCGGAGAUGAGUGGAGAGCCGUCGCGGCUGGGAGCCCUGCCUGCCUGCGAGGACCUGACCCUGGGGCUGGAGGAGCCACCGCAGGGAUUCCUGCCGCGCGGGAGCCGGAGGCCGGAACAGCUGGAGCUGAAGAGGCCACAGUGGGUGGAGCGGGGACCACCAAAGCCGCAGUCCCGUGCGAGCAGAGAGCAUGCCCAGAUGUGCGCAUCGUUGGCCCUCGAGGAGGACGGGUGGGAGCUCGCCCGCGUGAAGCGAGCGGACAGGCCCCACCGAGAAGCAGAGAUGCCGUGGGCCCUGCCGAAAGAUGGGCUGGUGGCAGGAAGAGGCCGGGAGGGCGCACACGGCCCUCCACCAUUGUGUCCGGGCUGCGGGGAGUGGCUACUGGCCUGGCCGGCCACAGGCAAUGGCGGAGGGUCCGGGGAGGCGGCAGGAGCCGGGCCUGGCCGCAGGCAAGACCAGGACAAAGACGCUGUGCAGAGUCCGGCCCCCGCCCCCGCCCCCGCCCCCGCCCCAGCAUCCCACAGGCCCUCAGACAAGUCUCCCGUGCAGCCCCGUGGAGUGGAUAGGGGGACUGUCCCAGAGGAGCCAGAGCCUUUCUGCACCGGCACAGCAGGCCUGGAGCAGCCUGGAGCACAGGAGCUGCCUCUGCUGGGGACAGAGGGAAACGCCUUGCCUGCCCAGCCAGGGAUGUGGGAGCCACCCCUGAACCUGGCCGCCUUGUGCAGGGGACAGGCUGAGAGCCCACAGGCCGUUCAGGAAGAACCUGCGCGGAGCUGGAGCAGGGUGCGCCCAGUGGGGAGCCAGGGGCAGGCCUCGGAGGGGCAGGCCAGGGCCGAGGGCGCCCUGGAGCCUGGGUGCCACCAGCACAGAAUGGAGGUCACCAGGAGAAGGUCUUCGCCAUCCCCCUUCCAGCUCACAGACCCGCGGAGCACUGGACAGGAGCACCUUGCUGUCCCAGGAGAGAAGGAGGCCGAAAUAGCGCUGGAGAGAGAGGUUGACAUGGAAACCAAACCUCUACAUCUGGAGGAAGUCGUCCCGGCUCUGAAGAAACACGAGAACGAUAGACUCGAGUUUCAGAGACUUACCGAAGAAAACGCUUUGUUGAAAAACAACCUGGGAAGGGUUCGGCAAGAGCUUGAAGCUGCAGAAAGCACUCACGAUGCACAGAGGAAAGAAAUUGAGGUUUUAAAGAAAGACAGUGAAAAGGUCUGCUCUGAGAUGGAGGCACUCAACAGACAGAAUCAGAACUACAAGGAUCAGUUAUCCCAGCUUAAUGACAGGGUUCUUCGCCUGGGACAGGAGGCUUCUGCCCACCAGACCCAAAACGAGGAGCAUCGUGUGACCAUUCAGCUGUUAACACAGAGCCUGGAGGAGGUGGCAUGCAGCUGGCAGCAGCAGAGUGACCAAAUCCAAAAACUUGAAGUUGAACUUGAACGCCUGAAUCAGGAAUGUCAGAGCAUGCGACUGUCACAGGCCGAGCUGACGCAGACCCUUGAGGAAAGUCAAGGCCAGGUGCAGGGAGCUCACCUGAGGCUGAGGCAGGCCCAGGCCCAGCACUGGCAGGAGGUCCGGCAGCUGCAGGAGCAGAUGGGUCAGCUGGUGCCCCGGGACCACGUGGCUGAGCUGCAGCGCCUGCUCCGUCUCCAGGGAGAGCGGGCCGGGAGACGCCUGGAUGCGCAGCGGGGACGACUUCAGGGGGGAUCAGGAGCCAGAGGGCAGAAGAAGGAAUUAGCACACGACCUGAGAAGUGGGAAGAACAUGAGAAACAGCUGAAAGCCACAGAAGAGCGAGCAGAAGAGGCGGAGUUGAUUCUGAAGAAUAUGGAAAUGCUGCUCCAAGAGAAAGCGGAUGAGCUGAAGGAGCAGUUUGAAAAGAACACAAAGUCCGACCUUCUGCUGAAGGAGCUGUACGUGGAGAAUGCCCACCUGGUGAGAGCACUUCAGGCCACCGAGGAGAAGCAGCGAGGUGCUGAGAAGCAAAGCCGCAUCUUGGAAGAAAAAGUUCGCGCUCUCAACAAACUCGUCAGUAGGAUUGCCCCUGCAGCCCUCUCUGUGUAAAGAUGGAUUAUUUCCUCGGAUUCAUUAGUAAGCACAUCUUUUAAAGUAAGCCGCCGUGAUGCCCUAGUUUUCCAUGGCUCAUCUGAGGAUUGGGAUUAUUUGUUCACCCACCAGACAUUUAAUGAAUGGUCUGCCCUGGGCAAGACAGAGGUGGGGGAAUAUGCACGUUGCAAAAGCCUGCAUUUUUAUUAGCAGUCCUGAGUAAUUUCCCUUGGCAAAAUUCCCAGAUUUGCCACUCACUGGAGCCGGAUUCUCGGAGCUGUCAGCAAGGAGCAGCUAAGUAAGCAGGUGAGGACAGCACUUUCCAUGUGCAGGCAAUGACCUUCUGACCCUGGCUGUCGGAUUGAAAUGUAAAAUCAGGGCUCUGCACAGUUUUGCCAUUUUACUGUUUUGCUCUGAGCUGAGGUUAUUAGAACUCCUGGUGGGGGGUGCAUACACACAUUCCAGAAAGGCUUCACUUGCUGGGAAUGUCAACCCCGCAAGAAAGGAGGGGAAGCCCCUUCUCCAGGGACCCUUGUCUUAGGUCUGUGGACUCAGGGAUGAUGGUGUUUAUUGCAAAUGCACAAUCUUUUUCCCAUUGAAACGUCAUCACACUGGAAAUUGCACUAUAUGUAAAAAAAAAAAGUAUAGUUUUAUAUUUGAAAUGUAUAUAAAUUAUGGCCAUAUGGCUGACUGGAAUGUACUACUGUAAUAUAAAAAGUCACUGUAUUUGCAAUAAAUUCUUUUCUAUUAAAAUUGA
Sapajus apella (tufted capuchin) is the source of this 5109-nucleotide RNA transcript. It is a transcript of the gene named ninein like, with no coding region annotated. The transcript has 25 exons. Lineage: Eukaryota; Metazoa; Chordata; Mammalia; Primates; Cebidae. The record is from RefSeq and is a predicted model, not a curated record.